Molecule: long non-coding RNA, 840 nt
Organism: Harmonia axyridis
Lineage: Eukaryota; Metazoa; Arthropoda; Insecta; Coleoptera; Coccinellidae
Exons: 2
Source: RefSeq, a predicted model, not a curated record
GUUGCCAAAGGCAGAUUUCAAAUUAUUAUUCAGUGUUGUUAUUCUUUCAGAAAUAUCUUCCAACUCCAAUUUGACUAUGUGGUGUGUUCUCUUGGAUAUAAAAUUCCCCAAGAGGUAUCCUGAAAUAAAUUUCAAGGCCAAGUUCCUUAUUUUUGGACAAUAAUGCGUCCCCACAUCGUACGAGGAUUUUUGAUGAAGCUCUGGAAAUUCAUGGUAUUCCCCAUUCGGCCUUGUCCCCUCAAUCGCCAGACCUCAAUCCCAUGGAAUACUCUUAGGAUCCUGGAUCAUCGACAAAGAGCUUUGGAUUCUCACCAAUCAUCUUCUCAUACACUUCAACAACCCAGAUGACACUUACAAGUCUGGAGAGAAAUUGAUAAAGGCUUCUUCAACAAUCUGAUCGAAAAUAUGCAAAACGUUGUCAAGAUGUGAUUGAUGUUCGAGGAGACACUAUACUGUUUACUGAACUUUAUUUUUUCAAUUUUCUGAGUGAAAUGAUUUUGUACUACAAAUACUAAAAAUUCGUUUUCAUCAGAAACUGUGAAACUUAUGAAGGAAUGGCCAAAAAAAAAACGAUUUAGAUAAGUGAGUAAACAUAUUUAAAAAAUUGGUGAAAAAAAAGGAAACUUCUGAAACAACACAAAAUGUCAGUAUAUAUUUAUGAACUAAACAUAAACAAACUCCAAAAAAAACAUAAUUCCAAAAAGUAUAGUAUGAUCAUGCCAGGCAUUAGUCAGACAUCAGAAAUAGACUUAAAUAAAGGUUAAGUGUAUUACGGUUUUAAUGAACUAGUUAUGUAAACCACCUUGUAUGUCAAAAAAUAUACUUACCAGAAUGACCUGA